This 301-nucleotide ribosomal RNA is filed under the name uncultured bacterium. RNAcentral describes it as "partial 16S ribosomal RNA". It matches the Rfam family "Bacterial small subunit ribosomal RNA", at positions 509 to 807 of the family's 1533-position model. The record is from RNAcentral.
CAGUAGCCGCGGUAAGACGGAGGGUGCUAGCGUUGUUCGGAAUCACUGGGCGUAAAGGGCGCGUAGGCGGCCUGUUAAGUCGGAUGUGAAAGCCCUGGGCUCAACCUGGGAACUGCAUCCAAAACUGGUGAGCUAGAGUACGGUAGAGGGUAGUGGAAUUUCCUGUGUAGCGGUGAAAUGCGUAGAUAUAGGAAGGAACACCAGUGGCGAAGGCGACUACCUGGACUGAUACUGACACUGAGGUGCGAAAGCGUGGGGAGCAAACAGGAUUAGAUACCCCAGUAGUCCCUGUCUCUUAUAC